CGAGUGAACUGGAAUUAGCCCAUCACGAAAUCUAUAUUAUAUUAAUAAUAUCGAAAUGUCGUGUAUAGGUUUUAUUAUUAUUAAUAAAUUAUUAUUAAAUAAUUGUAUUUAAAUAUACAGCCAUAGAAGGUGCCAGCCCUGUUAUUUAAUAAUAUUUAUUAAAUUUAUAAAACUUUAGAGUCGUGUUGCUUGGAAGUGCAGCACAAAGUUGGUGAUAAACAUCAUCUAAGGCUAAAUAUUCCUAUGAAUCCGAUAGCGAACAAGUACUGUGAAGGAAAAUUGCAAAGUACUCCGGAGAGAGAGUUAAAGAGGACGUGAAACCGAUACGAUGGAAGCAUACAGAGCCAGUUGCACUAUUAUUAAUAUUUAUUUAUUAAUAAUUUUAAGCAUGGAUAUAUUGAUUAAUAAUUAAUUAUUUAUUAAAGAGUGAUAAAAUUUUUUAAAAUUUUGUUAACUUUAAUAAAAUAAUUAUAUUUUUAAUUAAUAUUUAAAAAUUUAUUAAUUAAUUAAUAAUAUAUUAUUUUAUUAAUAUAAUAUAAGACACAUGUGUUAAAUAUUAUUUAUUUAAUAAUUAAUAUAUUAUUAUAAAUUAAUAAUAUCUAUGUAAUCCUGGUAUGCUGUAUGUCCCGUCUUGAAACACGGACCAAGGAGUGUAUUAUUAUGGCAAGUCAUUGAUAUUAUUAAUAUCAAAGGCAUAAUGAAAAUAAUUUUAAUCUCAGAUCUUUUGAUUAUAUUAUCAUUAGCGCAUGAGAAACGUAAAUAUAUGAUUUUAUUCAUUUUUUGCAGUUAUAGCCAUAAUAGUGCGACCCGAAAGAUGGUGAACUAUACUAGUGCAGGGUGAAGUCAGAAGAAAUUCUGAUGGAAGCUCGAAGCGGUCCUGACGUGCAAAUCGGUCGU
This 897-nucleotide ribosomal RNA is filed under the name Strongyloides sp. EN-2021a. RNAcentral describes it as "partial large subunit ribosomal RNA". It matches the Rfam family "Eukaryotic large subunit ribosomal RNA", at positions 90 to 905 of the family's 3401-position model. The record is from RNAcentral. Lineage: Eukaryota; Metazoa; Nematoda; Chromadorea; Rhabditida; Strongyloididae.